GAUGAACGCUGGCGGCGUGCCUAACACAUGCAAGUCGAGCGAGAAGUUUGAAAAAUGAGUUUUCGAACAAGUGAUUCAAACGGAAAGCGGCGGACGGGUGAGUAACGCGUAGGCAACCUGCCCCGUGCAGAGGGACAGCCUCGGGAAACCGGGAUUAAGACCUCAUGAUAUCGGGUUAUCACAUGGUAAUCCGGUCAAAGAUUUAUCGGCAUGGGAUGGGCCUGCGUCUGAUUAGCUGGUUGGUGGGGUAACGGCCUACCAAGGCGACGAUCAGUAGCAGAACUGAGAGGUUCAUCUGCCACAUUGGAACUGAGACACGGUCCAAACUCCUACGGGAGGCAGCAGUGAGGAAUAUUGCACAAUGGGCGAAAGCCUGAUGCAGCAACGCCGCGUGAGCGAAGAAGGCCUUUGGGUCGUAAAGCUCUGGUCCUUGGGGAAAAACAAUGACGGUACCCUUGGAGGAAGCCCCGGCUAACUACGUGCCAGCAGCCGCGGUAAU
Molecule: ribosomal RNA, 499 nt
Filed under: uncultured bacterium
Lineage: Bacteria
Description: bacterial SSU rRNA
Rfam family: Bacterial small subunit ribosomal RNA
Source: RNAcentral